AACGAACGCUGGCGGCAUGCCUAACACAUGCAAGUCGAACGAGACCUUCGGGUCUAGUGGCGCACGGGUGCGUAACGCGUGGGAACCUGCCCUUAGGUUCGGAAUAACUCCCCGAAAGGGGUGCUAAUACCGGAUAAUGUCUUCGGACCAAAGAUUUAUCGCCUUUGGAUGGGCCCGCGUUGGAUUAGCUAGUUGGUAGGGUAAAAGCCUACCAAGGCGACGAUCCAUAGCUGGUCUGAGAGGAUGAUCAGCCACACUGGGACUGAGACACGGCCCAGACUGAGAGGGGAGGGAGAGGGGGGAAAUAUGGGACAGGGGGGAAAAGCGGGAUCCAGCGGUGACGAGGGGGGAGGGAAGGCCGUAGGUUGCAAAAGCUCGUCUACUGGGGAAGAUAACGACGAGAGCGGGACAAUCAGCUCAGCCGAACGCCGCGCCGGCAGCCGCAAUAAUACGCGGAAGAGCACACGUCGGCAC
This 474-nucleotide ribosomal RNA is filed under the name uncultured bacterium. RNAcentral's name for it is "partial 16S ribosomal RNA". It matches the Rfam family "Bacterial small subunit ribosomal RNA", at positions 33 to 541 of the family's 1533-position model. The record is from RNAcentral.